RNAcentral lists this ribosomal RNA (253 nucleotides) under uncultured bacterium. RNAcentral's name for it is "partial 16S ribosomal RNA". It matches the Rfam family "Bacterial small subunit ribosomal RNA", at positions 524 to 776 of the family's 1533-position model. The record is from RNAcentral.
GACGAAGGGGGCUAGCGUUGUUCGGAAUUACUGGGCGUAAAGCGCGUGUAGGCGGUUAUCCAAGUCGGGUGUGAAAGCCUUGAGCUUAACUCAAGAAAUGCACUCGGUACUGGGUGACUAGAGGACCGGAGAGGAUAGUGGAAUUCCCAGUGUAGUGGUGAAAUACGUAGAGAUUGGGAAGAACACCAGUGGCGAAGGCGGCUAUCUGGACGGUUUCUGACGCUAAGACGCGAAAGCGUGGGGAGCGAACAGG